Molecule: long non-coding RNA, 2077 nt
Filed under: Nicotiana benthamiana
Lineage: Eukaryota; Viridiplantae; Streptophyta; Magnoliopsida; Solanales; Solanaceae
Description: long non-coding RNA (NBEN_LNC042165)
Source: RNAcentral
AUUCAACGCGCGAAGAGGUCGUUUCGAGAGACAAGGGCAUAGCAAGCUAGAGUUUUGGCCGGUUUGAGCUGAGUAGUGAUUGUAAUGAUGUCCUGAGGGUUUGAAACUCUGGAUUGCACAAUAUAGUGCUAUAUUGAGGUAAGACACGUGCUUAAUGACGAGCGGGGGGUCAUUUAAUAUUUUGAAUUGUGACCUGGUCCGUCCCGAUUGAUGUUUUACCGCGUAUUUGACUAAUACUUUGUUUGUUUUCACUAUGACUUGGGCUUAUUGCUAUAUUUGGGCUUAAUGCCGAUUAUUUGAAUCCUUUGUGGACUUUUAUCACUGUUUCCUCACUAUUGUGAUAUAUUACCUGAACUCAGUCCCAUUAAAUUACACUAUUUUACAAACUCAGCUGUUUUUACUCGAAUUUGAGACUUAAAUAAUAUGUACAAAUGUUGUUUGAGCUGAGCACUAUUAUUUUACUGAUACCCGAGGGGCUUGUGAUGAUUUUAUUGAAUGAGUGAGGCCGAGGGCCAUAUGUGAGAAUAUGCCAAGUGAUAUGAGGCCGGGAGCCUGAGUUGUUUGAUAUGCCACGAGAUGGCUUGAUAUAACGCUUGGGCUGUAAGGGGACCCUCCGGAGUCUACACCUCCACAGUGAGCACAGAUACCCAUAUGAUAUUGUGAGUGAGCCCGAGGGGCUGAUAUUAUACUGAGUGACUGAGAGUGAGCCCGAGGAACUGAUACUGUACUGAGAGGUUGAUAUUGAGCCCGAGGGGCAAAUUUCUGUUUAUUACUCACUUCUUGGAAAUACCCAUUUUUAAUUGUUAUAAAAGAGAUUUUAUUCGAUUCUUCAUUGUCUUACGGUUUUAAUGAUUUUUUACUUCCUUAAUAUAGUAUUAUCUUGUGCCAUAUGUGAUUUCGAGCUUUCAGUCAUUAUUUAUAUUAUUACUCACUGGGUCGAAGUACUCGCAUUACCCCCUGCACCGUAUGUGCAGAUACAUGCAUUGCAGAGUCCGUUCCUGAGCAUUGAUCUUCUGAGUUCAGGCGGUGAUUGGAGACUUCGAGGUAGAUGUCAGCGUCCACAGCCCUGAGCCUCCCCUAUCUUGUCCUUUAUGUUUUCUUUUAAAUUAUGUUAUACCGAAUUUCGUACUUCAUAGAUUUGUACUGGAUUCUCCUUAGUUGCUCGUGACUUGUGACACACCGGUUUGGGCUGUGUCGGGAUGGUUUUCUAUGUUUUAUCACUUUCUUCUGCAUUUGUGAUUAUAAUAUUCAUGUUUUAGGCUUAUAUAUAUCAAUUAACUAUUAAAAGAGGUGUUUUAUUCUGUUAGCUGGCCUUGUCUUCAUGAGAGGCGCCAUUAUGACGGGUUCAGGAAUUGGGUUGUGACAAGUUGGUAUCAGAGCGUAGGUUACAUAGGUCUCACGAGUCAUGAGCAGUUUUAGUAGAGUCUCGUGGAUCGGUACGGAGACGUCGAUAUUAAUCCUCGAGAGGGUGCGGAACAUUUAGGAAAUUCUUUUUCAUAUUCUUGAAAUUCUUAUCAUGCGACUUUGUUGAUCCGAGAACUAAACUUCUAUAUUCUAUUAUCUCAUAGAUGGCGAGGAUUCACGCUACCGGAUGAGGCGGACGACCACCAGUACCACCCACUGAGGUCGCGGUCGUGGUAGAGGCCCUAGCUCAGAUCUUAUUAGUUUGUACUGGCCUGGCUUAGGCAGUUUCAGCCACUACCGCAGCAGCAACUUCAUAGGCUGGGGGAGGCAAUUAGACCCCCGUUGCUCGCAUACCUAAGCAGGUAGUGUAGGGAUUGCAGACACCGGGAGCACCUCCCGCUCAGCCGAUUCCACCAGUUUAGGACUUCGUGGUUCCAGCUAUGCCAUAUGAUGAGUAGCGUCGUCUUGAGAGGUUUGGUAGGCUCCAACCUCCUUCAUUUAUUGGUGCUCAGGGCGAGGAUGCCCAGGGUUUUCUCGACAAGUGUUAGCAUGUGCUUCGAACAACAAGGAUUCUUGAGUCUACUGGUACGACAUUCACCACCUUUCAGUUCCCUGGGGCUGCCUUCACCUGGUGGGAGGCGUAUGAGAGGCGUUGGCUAGCAGGUGCAGCGCC